UACAGAGGGGGCAAGCGUUGUUCGGAAUUACUGGGCGUAAAGGGCGCGUAGGUGGCCUUCUAAGUUGAACGUGAAAUCCCUGGGCUCAACCCAGGAACUGCGUCCAAGACUGGGAGGCUUGAAUCCGGGAGAGGGAUGCGGAAUUCCAGGUGUAGCGGUGAAAUGCGUAGAUAUCUGGAGGAAUACCGGUGGCGAAGGCGGCAUCCUGGACCGGCAUUGACGCUGAAAAGCGAAAGCCAGGGGAGCAAACGGG
RNAcentral lists this ribosomal RNA (253 nucleotides) under uncultured bacterium. Its description in RNAcentral is "partial 16S ribosomal RNA". It matches the Rfam family "Bacterial small subunit ribosomal RNA", at positions 524 to 776 of the family's 1533-position model. The record is from RNAcentral.